This 233-nucleotide ribosomal RNA is filed under the name uncultured bacterium. Its description in RNAcentral is "partial 16S ribosomal RNA". It matches the Rfam family "Bacterial small subunit ribosomal RNA", at positions 118 to 351 of the family's 1533-position model. The record is from RNAcentral.
UGGGCAACCUGCCCCUAGCACUGGGAUAACCCCGGGAAACCGGGGCUAAUACCGGAUACGACACGGGAGGGCAUCCUCUUCGUGUGGAAAGGAUUUCCGGCUAGGGAUGGACCCGCGGUGCAUUAGCUAGUUGGUGAGGUAACGGCUCACCAAGGCAACGAUGCGUAGCCGACCUGAGAGGGUGAUCGGCCACAUUGGAACUGAGACACGGUCCAGACUCCUACGGGAGGCAG